This 385-nucleotide long non-coding RNA is filed under the name Mytilus galloprovincialis (Mediterranean mussel). Lineage: Eukaryota; Metazoa; Mollusca; Bivalvia; Mytilida; Mytilidae. The record is from RNAcentral.
AAUUUACUAGCUUUAGAUCAGGUGGGAUAGCUUUAGGCUAUAGAUCACAGUAUGCAAAAUUUAUUCAUUGUAUAGAAACAGAUUGUCCUUUUGUUUUAUGGUUUAGAGUAGAUAGAAUAUUAUUUAGAACUGAAGAUGAUAUAAUAAUGGGUAUAGUGUAUAUCCCGCCUGAAAAUACUCGUUAUACGUCUGAAAAUGCGAUGUCAGAAAUUGAAAUAGAAUUUCUUGAAAUUACAAAAGAAUAGUAACUGUAUUUUUCUUCUUGGUGAUUUCAAUAGUCGCACUGCAAAUGAACAAGAUUUUUUUAAUAUAUCUGAUUUCGAAGAACAUUUAACCGAUAUUAUAGAUGUAAAUGAGUUUAAUGACAUUCAUGUCUUAGACGAUC